This 718-nucleotide ribosomal RNA is filed under the name Vibrio sp. AOH-30. RNAcentral describes it as "bacterial SSU rRNA". It matches the Rfam family "Bacterial small subunit ribosomal RNA", at positions 48 to 747 of the family's 1533-position model. The record is from RNAcentral. Lineage: Bacteria; Pseudomonadati; Pseudomonadota; Gammaproteobacteria; Vibrionales; Vibrionaceae.
CUAACACAUGCAAGUCGAGCGGAAACGACACUAACAAUCCUUCGGGUGCGUUAAUGGGCGUCGAGCGGCGGACGGGUGAGUAAUGCCUAGGAAAUUGCCUUGAUGUGGGGGAUAACCAUUGGAAACGAUGGCUAAUACCGCAUAAUGCCUACGGGCCAAAGAGGGGGACCUUCGGGCCUCUCGCGUCAAGAUAUGCCUAGGUGGGAUUAGCUAGUUGGUGAGGUAAUGGCUCACCAAGGCGACGAUCCCUAGCUGGUCUGAGAGGAUGAUCAGCCACACUGGAACUGAGACACGGUCCAGACUCCUACGGGAGGCAGCAGUGGGGAAUAUUGCACAAUGGGCGAAAGCCUGAUGCAGCCAUGCCGCGUGUAUGAAGAAGGCCUUCGGGUUGUAAAGUACUUUCAGUUGUGAGGAAGGGGGUAGCGUUAAUAGCUCUAUCUCUUGACGUUAGCAACAGAAGAAGCACCGGCUAACUCCGUGCCAGCAGCCGCGGUAAUACGGAGGGUGCGAGCGUUAAUCGGAAUUACUGGGCGUAAAGCGCAUGCAAGUGGUUCAUUAAGUCAGAUGUGAAAGCCCGGGGCUCAACCUCGGAACUGCAUUUGAAACUGGUGAACUAGAGUACUGUAGAGGGGGUAGAAUUUCAGUGUAGCGGUGAAAUGCGUAGAGAUCUGAAGGAAUACCAAUGGCGAAGGCGGCCCCCUGGACAGAUACUGACACU